RNAcentral lists this ribosomal RNA (406 nucleotides) under uncultured bacterium. Its description in RNAcentral is "partial 16S ribosomal RNA". It matches the Rfam family "Bacterial small subunit ribosomal RNA", at positions 30 to 526 of the family's 1533-position model. The record is from RNAcentral.
AUUGAACGCUGGCGGCAGGCCUAACACAUGCAAGUCGAACGAGUGGCGGACGGGUGAGUAAGGUCUGGGAAACUGCCUGAUGGAGGGGGAUAACUACUGGAAACGGUAGCUAAUACCGCAUACCAUCAGAGGUGCCCAGAUGGGUUUAGCGUGUUGGUGGGGUAAAGGCUCACCAAGGCGACGAUCCCUAGCUGGUCUGAGAGAAUGACCAUCCCCCCUGGAAUCGCGCCACGGUCCAGACCCCUACGGGAGUCAGCAGUGGGUAAUAUUGCACAAUUGGCGCAAGCCUGAUGCAGCCCUGCCGCGUGUAUGAAGAAGGCCUUCGGGUUGUAAAGUACUUUCCGCGGGUAGGCGUUACCCGCAGAAGAAGCACCGGCUAACUCCGUGCCAGCAGCCGCGGUAAUUC